RNAcentral lists this ribosomal RNA (442 nucleotides) under uncultured bacterium. RNAcentral's name for it is "bacterial SSU rRNA". It matches the Rfam family "Bacterial small subunit ribosomal RNA", at positions 28 to 450 of the family's 1533-position model. The record is from RNAcentral.
GAUGAACGCUGGCGGCGUGCUUAACACAUGCAAGUCGAACGAAGCACUUUAUUUGAUUUCCUUCGGGACUGAUUAUUUUGUGACUGAGUGGCGGACGGGUGAGUAACGCGUGGGUAACCUGCCUUGUACAGGGGGAUAACAGUUGGAAACGGCUGCUAAUACCGCAUAAGCGCACGGCAUCGCAUGAUGCAGUGUGAAAAACUCCGGUGGUAUAAGAUGGACCCGCGUUGGAUUAGCUAGUUGGUGAGGUAACGGCCCACCAAGGCGACGAUCCAUAGCCGACCUGAGAGGGCGACCGGCCACAUUGGGACUGAGACACGGCCCAAACUCCUACGGGAGGCAGCAGUGGGGAAUAUUGCACAAUGGGCGAAAGCCUGAUGCAGCGACGCCGCGUGAGCGAAGAAGUAUUUCGGUAUGUAAAGCUCUAUCAGCAGGGAAGAUA